This is a non-coding RNA of Zonotrichia albicollis (white-throated sparrow), 454 nucleotides long. The record is from RefSeq and is a predicted model, not a curated record. NCBI's taxonomy places the organism in Eukaryota, Metazoa, Chordata, Aves, Passeriformes, Passerellidae.
CAAGGAAGGAGGACAGAGGUCAAGUGUGUGUCAGGAGCUGAGGACAACGGGGUGAAAAAGGAGCUGAGGACAACAGGGUGAAAAAGAAGCUGAGGACAACGGGAAAACAAUGUAGAAGCUCACUAAAGAAGAUUCCUCCUUAUUGGCCCUUCCUGAUGUGUAGCCAGAAGUGAGGAAAGAUGAUCAAAGGCUCCUUCCAAAGGACAGCAGUGGUAAUGGGUGCAGCUCGUGACAGCCCUCACUGACCCAUCUUUCUUGGUUUGUGCACAGUCUGCUCAGUAGCAAGAUGGUGACUUGUAGUUUGUCAAAAGCAGCAGUUUGCUGGACCUGGAGACAGAAAUGCUUUGAACAAGAGGAAACUGUCUUUUCAACAACUUUGCAAAAACUGGGCAUUUAGUCUUUCUGCGAAUUUGAUAUGCUAAAAAUAACUGUGUCACAUGGUCUGUGAUCAGGA